This is a long non-coding RNA of Sphaeramia orbicularis (orbiculate cardinalfish), 637 nucleotides long. RefSeq lists it as uncharacterized. The transcript is spliced from 4 exons. Lineage: Eukaryota; Metazoa; Chordata; Actinopteri; Kurtiformes; Apogonidae. The record is from RefSeq and is a predicted model, not a curated record.
UAGCUCUUGGAAAGUCGUACUCAAGAGGAAGAUGAUACGCGGCUCACACUGAACCCAGUGAUACAUUCUUCUGAAAAGUGGUCGCGGCAUAAAACGAGAUAAGCAUCGAUUUCAGAUGUAAUCCCCGUGUCCCCUCACAGCGCUGUUAUCGACGGAGAUGCAGCGGAGAUGAUGCAAACCUAGAAGAGUCUAUAACUGACAGAAUGCGUCUUCAUAUCCAAGGUUCUACUGUGGUGGGUUUUCCACAUUGUGCGCAUAACUCGAGGCAGAUGAGGAGCUGCACUUCGCCCUAGAGAACACAGGAACACCCCUAAUAUUGAUCCUCAUCAAUUACAGCCAUCUUCAUGACUGGUCCUGCCAACACCUCCAUGUCCACUCUGCCCGUCCGCACAGAUCCACUGACACUGACGGAGUCCAUCCCCCCACAGCUCAGACUUUUUCUCCAUGGGGUCCGGUGAGGCUGACGGCUGAAGCAGCUCAGCAGCCCACAGUGGAGGCCAACGAUGGGCCUGGGGAGAGCUCACAGCAAAACCCCUCCCUAACACCACGGAUCUCUGAGGCUCAGUCUGGCCACACACAGAGGACGCUACUUCCACAGCCAGGAGAACGAAACCUGAGUUUGGUGCAUACAUACUGG